Molecule: long non-coding RNA, 489 nt
Organism: Panicum hallii
Lineage: Eukaryota; Viridiplantae; Streptophyta; Magnoliopsida; Poales; Poaceae
Exons: 3
Source: RefSeq, a predicted model, not a curated record
CUGUGUAACUUAGCUGUGCCACCGCCGGGCUGGCCGCCGCCCUGGCCAUCCCUCUAAACUGGUAGCCCUGAAAUCUCCAACCCCUAACCCCAAACUAAAUCCUCGCCGCAGAUCCCGCCGUCGGAGCUCUCUGGGAGAAGGUCGGAGCUUGCCAGAGAAGGUGGCCCCAAUUUCCUCAAUUUCCUUUUUGCCCCCGAGAUCCUCUCUGUUAAAAGAUCAACCACUAGUUAAAGUUCUAGUGGUUAGCAUUUUCGGAAAAUUGAGGCAUGAGCGUGAUGUUUUCUUCGAUAGAAAUGCAUAAUUGAUCUGAUUUAAAGAUAGUCCUUAAGAAUUCUAUUACAGCAUGGAGUCGUUAGUCAAGCAAGAGACACAACCGAAGCCGCGGCUCAUUGUCCGCCUUGGCGUAUUUCUUGCAUCUCACCACAUUCUCUUCAGUGUUAUUUGCUGCUCUGCGGGCAUUAUUGCGCUCCUCCUCCUCCCUUCACUUGC